UAAUGGCAGGUCAGCAUACUGCCGUGAAUACGUUCCCGGGCCUUGUACACACCGCCCGUCACACCAUGAGAGUUGGGAAUACCCGAAGCCGGCGGCCUAACCGAAAGGGGGGAGCCGUCGAAGGCAGGCCCGGUGACUGGGGUGGAAGUCGUAACAAGGUAUC
RNAcentral lists this ribosomal RNA (163 nucleotides) under uncultured bacterium. RNAcentral's name for it is "partial 16S ribosomal RNA". It matches the Rfam family "Bacterial small subunit ribosomal RNA", at positions 1339 to 1500 of the family's 1533-position model. The record is from RNAcentral.